Molecule: transfer RNA, 72 nt
Filed under: Intestinozyma alai
Lineage: Eukaryota; Fungi; Ascomycota; Pichiomycetes; Serinales; Debaryomycetaceae
Description: Candida alai tRNA-Ala
Rfam family: tRNA
About the family: Transfer RNA (tRNA) molecules are approximately 80 nucleotides in length. Their secondary structure includes four short double-helical elements and three loops (D, anti-codon, and T loops).
Source: RNAcentral
GGGAUUAUAGUUUAAUUGGUAGAACAUAUGUUUUGCAUACAUAAAAUCUCGGUUCAAAUCCGAUUAAUUCCA